Molecule: ribosomal RNA, 563 nt
Filed under: uncultured archaeon
Lineage: Archaea
Description: bacterial SSU rRNA
Rfam family: Archaeal small subunit ribosomal RNA
Source: RNAcentral
GCGAAUCGCCCUUCGGGGUGCGCAGGCGCGAAAACUCCACAAUGCGCGAAAGCGUGAUGGGGUUACCCCGAGUGCCAUCCGAUGAGGAUAGCUUUUCCCCAGUUUAAGGAGCUGGGGGAAUAAAGGGGGGGCAAGACUGGUGUCAGCCGCCGCGGUAAUACCAGCCCCCUGAGUGAUAGGGACGAUUAUUUAGCCUAAAGCGUCCGUAGCCGGCUUAGAAAGUCUUUCGUUAAAUCUAACGGCUUAACCGUUAGGCCGCGGAAGAUACUUCUAGGCUAGAGGGCGGGAGAGGUUGACGGUAUUCCCGGGGUAGGGGUGAAAUCCUAUAAUCCCGGGAGGACCACCAGUGGCGAAGGCGGUCAACUAGAACGCGCCUGACGGUGAGGGACGAAAGCUGGGGGAGCGAACCGGAUUAGACACCCGGGUAGUCCCAGCUGUAAACGAUGCGGGCUAGGUGUUGGGGCAGCUACGAGCAGCUCCAGUGCCGCAGAGAAGUUGUUAAGCCCGCCGCUUGGGAAGUACGGCCGCAAGGCUGAAACUUAAAGGAAUUGGCGGGGGAGCAC